This 201-nucleotide unclassified non-coding RNA is filed under the name uncultured Chaetothyriales. RNAcentral's name for it is "sequence contains ITS1". The record is from RNAcentral. Lineage: Eukaryota; Fungi; Ascomycota; Eurotiomycetes; Chaetothyriales.
CCGAGUUAGGGUCCUCUGAGCCCGAACCUCCCAACCCUUUGUCUACUCAACCUCUUGUUGCUUCGGCGAGCCCGUCCUUUACCGGACCGCCGGAGGACCGCCGCCCUCGGCGUCCUCUGGCCCGUGCCCGUCGGUGGCCAACCUUUAAAACUCUUUGUUUAAAUCGUGUCGUUUGUCUGAAUUCAAACCAAAAAUAACGCA